This 253-nucleotide ribosomal RNA is filed under the name uncultured bacterium. Its description in RNAcentral is "partial 16S ribosomal RNA". It matches the Rfam family "Bacterial small subunit ribosomal RNA", at positions 524 to 776 of the family's 1533-position model. The record is from RNAcentral.
UACAGAGGUGGCAAGCGUUGCUCGGGAUCACUGGGCUUAAAGGGCGCGUAGGCGGUGCGGUGCGGUUUCGGUGAAAUCCCUCGGCCCAACCGAGGAACAGCCGGGGCUACGGCCGCGCUAGACGGCAUCAGGGGACAGUGGAACUCCCGGUGGAGCGGUGAAAUGCGUAGAUAUCGGGAGGAACGCCGGUGGCGAAAGCGACUGUCUGGGGUGCCUGUGACGCUGAGGCGCGAAAGCCAGGGGAUCAAACGGG